GAGAGAACCAGUCGACGGUGACGCCGUCAAAGUCGACGAAGAUGAGUGAUUUUAAUGAUUCUUCUCGUUCUGGAGCAUCUGUGAUUAGGGUUUUCACUCGGAUCGCAACUGCCCACGAAUCCUAAGGUGCCCUAAUUUUCUCUCCAGAAAAUGGCCGGAAACAACUGUAUCUCAGACGGCAAAGAUGAACUCAAUGCUGAAGAGGACGAGAGAGAACUGGUUGAUGGAGAGUCAGUGACGCCGUCAACGACGAAGAUGAGGAAGACGGUAUUAUGGCCUUCUCUUCUGCUUUUUUGUUUUGUUUCUCCCACUGUAUACUCUUGUUUGUGCCAUCUCUUCUUUCUAGUUUGUCUACAUCAACGGCCACAACUCAUUGACAACUUCCUCUCUGGACUAUAUUCAAGAGUGAUCGGCCGUAUGACAAUUCAAAGUAAAUAUCGUUUUGAAGACAAUACUAGGAUCCCUGUGUUACGAAAAUCUGUUUAUGUAUGCAUAGGGAAUUGGUUGAUACUUAUAAAGAGAGAGGUAAACAUAAUGGACGAAGAUAAUUAAGUAAUUUCCAUUAAGCCUCUUUUUGAGCAUUUGUUACCCUAAUUAAUUUUUAUGCCAUUUUCGAUUUAUGGGCUUAUGAUUCUAUCUCCUUCAAAAUUUCCAUGUCAUUUGGCUAUUUCUGUAUAUAACCACGCAUUAUGACUCCUAAUAUUUAAGGAUCGACCAACAAUAGAAAUAAAAUAUCCAUUGAGGAGAACUAUAAGUCACAACUAAACAGGAAUUUUUGGAAAAAGAUUUUUUUGAUCUCUUUUCUAGCUUGCAUGUAAGAUAGAUAUAAUGUAAAAGUUUAAGGCUCAAUUUUUGUUUUCAGAUUUAAAAUAAGGUCUUGGGUAGUGAUAUAAUGUCUUC
This is a long non-coding RNA of Rhododendron vialii, 900 nucleotides long. RefSeq lists it as uncharacterized. The record is from RefSeq and is a predicted model, not a curated record. The transcript has 3 exons. NCBI's taxonomy places the organism in Eukaryota, Viridiplantae, Streptophyta, Magnoliopsida, Ericales, Ericaceae.